CCUACGGGUGGCAGCAGUGGGGGAUAUUGGACAAUGGGGGAAACUCUGAACCAGCGAUGCCGCGUGAGGGAAGAAGGUUUUAGGAUUGGAAACCUCCGUGGAGGGGGACGAUAAUGACGGUACCCCUUUCGGAAGCCACGGCUAACUACGUGCCGGCAGCCGCGGUAAUACGGAGGUGGCAAGCGUUGUCCGGAAUUACUGGGUGUAAAGGGAGUGUAGGCGGGAAAGCAAGUCAGAAGUGAAAACUAUGGGCUUAACCCAUAGCCUGCUUUUGAAACUGUUUUUCUUGAGUGAAGUAGAGGCAGGCGGAAUUCAUGGUGUAGCGGUGAAAUGCGUAGAUAUUAGGAGGAACACCAAUGGCGAAGGCGGCUUACUGGGCUUUAACUGACGCUGAGGCACGAAAGCAUGGGUAGCAAACAGGAUUAGAUACCCCAGUAGUC
Molecule: ribosomal RNA, 440 nt
Filed under: uncultured bacterium
Lineage: Bacteria
Description: partial 16S ribosomal RNA
Rfam family: Bacterial small subunit ribosomal RNA
Source: RNAcentral